ACACAAAAAUACUUUAUGCAUGGAGAAAGGUGGUGGCGUGAAGAGAAGAGUUCAACUCGAUUUGGACUCUAGAUUUUCAUUCAAAUUCAAACCCAUUUGAACUCAAAUUUAAACCAACCAAUUUCUAAUUCAACAAGAGAUCAGAUGUGAGUAUGAAAUUACUUUCGAGUAUGAAAGAAAAAAUCUAUGCAAAAAAUUUCUCGCAUGAACAAAUAGAGGGCGCAG
RNAcentral lists this long non-coding RNA (225 nucleotides) under Elaeis guineensis (African oil palm). RNAcentral's name for it is "long non-coding RNA (EGUI_LNC058193)". The record is from RNAcentral. Lineage: Eukaryota; Viridiplantae; Streptophyta; Magnoliopsida; Arecales; Arecaceae.